Hibiscus syriacus is the source of this 211-nucleotide long non-coding RNA. RefSeq lists it as uncharacterized. The record is from RefSeq and is a predicted model, not a curated record. NCBI's taxonomy places the organism in Eukaryota, Viridiplantae, Streptophyta, Magnoliopsida, Malvales, Malvaceae. The transcript is spliced from 3 exons.
GGCAAAUUCAUGAGGCUUCAUGCCAGACUUCAAGGAAAAUCUUGCCGCAAGGUAGGCUUUCAAAUCCGAGACCCCCUCGAUGGACUUUAUUAAAGAGGCGUUGUCUGCUUUCUGGUUUUCUUUCUUGUCUUCUGGCAGCUUCUUCUUAUCCUCUUUUCCAGUUUCGAAGAACUCUCCCUCACCCCGUUUUUCCUCUUCUCGAAUUCCUUGG